GCAAUCACUUCCUCCCCAUAACAUCCAGAUUUAAAGCCUUAAUUAAUGUUUUCUUUUAUCAUUAACAACGAUGAACCUUUUCUUUAUUAUUUACUCCCGAAGCAGACAAGGGGAGAGUUGCUCCAAACACCCGACGCGAGUAAGAGUGAUGUGCGAUGCGUCGGAGAGAGCCAAACCAGAAGUUUCUGUUACAUAUGGGUGUGUCGUGUUGCCCAAUGCAUUAUCCAGAUUUUGACGGAAAUUUAUUUAUAUAGCUCUUUGGAAGGAGACCAAGAAGACCAAAAAAAAAGGUCUUGGCACGUCGACUUCCGGCCGCGGUAUGGCCGGCGACGAGGAAGCGAAGCCGGAGACGCGUUGGUUUCGACGGUGCACUCCCCAAGUGCAGCUCGACAAGCUCAGGGUAUUCCCUAACUCUGUUGCUCCUUGCGUCGUGUUAAUUUCUCUAAUUCGUGCCAAGAACCAUCUCAUCACAUCUCCUCGUGAAGACUUCUGUGAAAUUGGAAGGAUCUACUUGCUAGGCGGAUCUCAAGAUAGCCCUAUGUUUUUAGUUCCGUCAAUACUUCAAUUUUGUUCUCUGAUUAGCACAUGUAGUAGGAAUUGCACAAGUAGCGUUUUCAACUCAAAGCACAGGCAAAGGAGAGAACAAAAUUGAAAGGGAGCACACAGAUGAGUGUAAAGACAUGUGAGGAGACACCUGAUGUGGAGAAUACAGAUACUUCGGUCACUACUGUUGGAGGCAGUUCAAGUUCUCCGACAUCAAAAGAAAAAAAGAAAAAAGGCUUGCUUGACAUGUUCUCCUAUAAUUUUAGAAUUUCGGAUUAACUCUUUCCUUCUCUUGCAUUACACAUUCCACCUUCUACAAAGCACAUUA
Molecule: non-coding RNA, 871 nt
Organism: Musa acuminata subsp. malaccensis (wild Malaysian banana)
Lineage: Eukaryota; Viridiplantae; Streptophyta; Magnoliopsida; Zingiberales; Musaceae
Source: RefSeq, a predicted model, not a curated record